AGUGAACGCUGGCGGUAGGCCUAACACAUGCAAGUCGAACGGCAGCACAGUAAGAGCUUGCUCUUACGGGUGGCGAGUGGCGGACGGGUGAGGAAUACAUCGGAAUCUACUUUUUCGUGGGGGAUAACGUAGGGAAACUUACGCUAAUACCGCAUACGACCUACGGGUGAAAGCAGGGGAUCUUCGGACCUUGCGCGAUUGAAUGAGCCGCUGUCGGAUUAGCUAGUUGGCGGGGUAAAGGCCCACCAAGGCGACGAUCCGUAGCUGGUCUGAGAGGAUGAUCAGCCACACUGGAACUGAGACACGGUCCAGACUCCUACGGGAGGCAGCAGUGGGGAAUAUUGGACAAUGGGCGCAAGCCUGGUCCAGCCAUACCACGUGGGUGAAGGAGGCCUUCGGGUUGUAAAGCCCUUUUGUUGGGAAAGAAAAGCAGCAGGUUAAUACCCCGCUGUUCUGACGGUACCCAAAGAAUAAGCACCGGCUAACUUCGUG
Molecule: ribosomal RNA, 492 nt
Filed under: uncultured bacterium
Lineage: Bacteria
Description: partial 16S ribosomal RNA
Rfam family: Bacterial small subunit ribosomal RNA
Source: RNAcentral